Molecule: long non-coding RNA, 305 nt
Organism: Acipenser ruthenus (sterlet)
Lineage: Eukaryota; Metazoa; Chordata; Actinopteri; Acipenseriformes; Acipenseridae
Exons: 3
Source: RefSeq, a predicted model, not a curated record
CAGGAUGAAAAAGUUCACAAGCCUGAUGAAAAUGUAACUGUCUCUCAGGGGCACAAUGGUUUUGUGUACAUCAGAGAAUACUUGGAAGAGUUGGGUUGUAUAAGAAAUUCAAUUCUCACAGGACAUCCACUUGCACUUUGCUUGAACGCUCAGAAGGCCACAUCAGUAUCUUCCACAAAGAAGGUUCUACCCACUACUGCAAUCGCAAGUGACUGGAAUGCACCAGAUACUGUUGGGAGUAUGCAGUACAGCAGGGCUAUCAGGGCCAGUGAUUCUGAAGAACGGCAAGUAUUUUUUUUUUUUAA